UUAAGUACUUGUCGGUCGAGAAACCUUCCUGUUCCAAGCCGGUUGGGCUGCAUGCUGCACAUUCUGUCAGCAACAAGGUGAAAUGCCUCGUGCCUCAUGGCUAACUGAUUAAAAACUGGUGCUCCUUAUACCAACUUGCCAAAGGAAAUUGCUGAUUACUUGAAUAAAAUGGGUGCUAGAAUACCAAACAUAAAGCCUGGGAAAGCCACAAUAGAGCAUCUGACUAAGAUUCAAGCAUCAACACGUUUUUGGGGUGGCCCAUUGUUAAGUAUUUUGGCAACUACAUCAACCCUGCUCAGUCAUUAUUUACGCCGUAUAAAUGAGGGAUUUGCUAUAGGGUUCACAUCUGUACUAAUUAUUGUGGGUUCAAUCAUUGAACUGAGAAGAUCCUAUCAAGCAUAUAAUGUAAUGCCAACCUUAAGCAAAGCUCUAAAAAGAUUCGGUGUCUAGCAUCAAUCCCCCAGUUGGCUCAUGCUUACACUGUGAGGACAAAAAGGAAGUGCUUCAAAUCAUUGUUAUUUGUCUUCGACCAGACUCCAGAGCAGCAUGCCGGGCAUUCUACCAAUUGUCAAUGGUGCAAUUGGAUCUUCGUUAUUAAUAAUCACAGGGAAGGAGCUGGGAGGAGUCCUAUAAAACUAAAAUCUCAUUUCCAACUUGAGUCUUGAAGUCGAAGGAGCAGCUGCUAUAGCAACAAAAGACCGUGUUAAAUGUAGUGUAUUUAUCUUAUGGUGAACCUUAAGCAGUGAUCAACGCUGUGCCGCUCAUUUCUCCAGUGCAGUAGCGCGAGUUCAACCAUCAAAAUUUUGGAACCAGCUUCUGUGGCCAGGCCCAAUGGCGACACCAGCUGAAAUGUUGAAUCUAAUCUUCUACCCAUUCUUUAUAUAGGAAAUAAACUAAUAAUCUAAAAUUUAACCCAGAAAAGUAGGGAGGCGUCCAUGGAUGAAAUGGGUCAUUGUGACAUAAUUAGUUUGAGUUUGUCACAAGCAAUUCUUGGGGGAAUGGUCUCCUUGUUCAGGAACAUUAUUAAAUAGUGAAUUUGAAGGGAAAUAAAGAAGACAGAAUGGGCAUGCC
This is a long non-coding RNA of Macadamia integrifolia, 1071 nucleotides long. RefSeq lists it as uncharacterized. NCBI's taxonomy places the organism in Eukaryota, Viridiplantae, Streptophyta, Magnoliopsida, Proteales, Proteaceae. The record is from RefSeq and is a predicted model, not a curated record. The transcript is spliced from 6 exons.